Molecule: small nuclear RNA, 161 nt
Filed under: Nannospalax galili (Upper Galilee mountains blind mole rat)
Lineage: Eukaryota; Metazoa; Chordata; Mammalia; Rodentia; Spalacidae
Description: U1 spliceosomal RNA (ENSNGAG00000006513.1)
Rfam family: U1 spliceosomal RNA
About the family: U1 is a small nuclear RNA (snRNA) component of the spliceosome (involved in pre-mRNA splicing).
Source: Rfam by way of RNAcentral
AUACUUACCUGACAGGCGAGUACCAUGAUCACGAAGGUUGUUUUCCCAGGGCAAGCUUAUCGAUUACACUCCAGAUGUGCUGACCCCUGCAAUUUCCCCAAGUUCGGGAAACUCGACUGCAUAAUUUGUGGUAGUUGGGGACUGCGUUCUGCUCUCCCCUA